UGCGAAGGCUCAUUAAAUCAGCUAUGGUUUAUUGGAUCGUACCCGUUAAAUGGAUAACUGUAAUAACACUAGAGCUAAUACAUGCCUCGAAGCCCUGACCCGUGAGGGAAUGGGUGCACUUAUUAGUCUAGAAGCCAACCAAACUUCGGUUUGUUGACCUUCUGGUGACUCUGGAUAAUUGUUACAGAUCGCAGUCGGCCUUGCGUCGGCGACGGGUCCUUCAAAUGUCUGCCCUAUCAACUGUCGAUGGUAGGUGAUCUGCCUACCAUGGUUAUAACGGGUAACGGGGAAUCAGGGUUCGAUUCCGGAGAGGGAGCCUGAGAAACGGCUACCACUUCCAAGGGAGGCAGCAGGCGCGCAAAUUACCCACUCCCAGUACGGGGAGGUGGUGACGAUAAAUACCGAUGCGGGACUCGUCAUGAGGCUCCGUAAUCGGAAUGAGUGAGAUUUAAAUCCUUUCACAAGGAUCAAUUGGAGGGCAAGUCUGGUGCCAGCAGCCGCGGUAACUCCAGCUCCAAUAGCGUAUAUUAAAGUUGUUGCAGUUAAAAAGCUCGUAGUUGGAUCUCGGUAGCAUUGUUGCCUGCCAUGGCUUGGCUGGUUGAGCUUUGGCUUAGUGCUUUGCGCUGGUCAAGUUUGGCUUGUCGAGUUGGCGUGGUGGCGGUGUCACCUUUCAGCCAUGUCUGUGGUGAAAUACCCAUAGGUGUAGGCGGGUGUCAGGCGGUGCUCUGCAACAGUAGGGUCCGUCGGCUCGUUUGCAUGCCUUUGGAUACCCUUCAUUGGAUGUCCGAUGGCGGAUGGCACGUUUACUUUGAACAAAUUUGAGUGCUCAAACCAGGCCGCUGUUGCCUGAAAAGUUUUGCAUGGAAUAAUGGAAUAGGACUUCGGUUCUAUUUUGUUGGUUUUCGGAUCCGAAGUAAUGAUCAAAAGAGACAGGCGGGGACGUUUGUAUGGUUGCGCUAGAGGUGAAAUUCAUGGACCGUAGCCAGACAAACUAAAGCGAAAGCAUUCGUCAAGCAUGUUUUCAUUGACCAUGAGCGAAAGUCAGAGGCUCGAAGACGAUCAGAUACCGUCCUAGUUCUGACCAUAAACUAUGCCAACUGACGAUCCGUGAUGGUAGCACUUCAACCUUCCGCACGGGCAGUCCCCGGAAAACCUUUAAGUCUUUGGGUUCCGGGGGAAGUAUGGUUGCAAAGCUGAAACUUAAAGGAAUUGACGGAAGGGCACCACCAGGAGUGGAGCCUGCGGCUUAAUUUGACUCAACACGGGAAAACUCACCCGGGCCGGACACUAUGAGGAUUGACAGAUUGAUAGCUCUUUCAUGAUUUGGUGGUUGGUGGUGCAUGGCCGUUCUUAGUUGGUGGAGCGAUUUGUCUGGUUAAUUCCGAUAACGAACGAGACUCUAGCCUGCUAAUUAGUGUGCUCGUCCACUGUUCCUGUGUAGGUGGCGUUUCUACGAUUCUGCUCCGUCAAAGUGGCUUGCUGGAAGCAUGCAUGGUUAACGCUGUGUGUGUGAAAAGUGAGUCGCUGGGGUGGAUGGUUAGGCGUUGCUUCCGGGUACGGCGCGGGUACUUUACUUCUUAGAGGGACAAACGGCAGAAUCCGCACGAAAUUGAGCAAUAACAGGUCUGUGAUGCCCUUAGAUGUCCGGGGCCGCACGCGCGCUACAAUGACGAUGGCAACGAGUCUGACCUUCUGGCCCGAAAGGGUUGGACAAACUGGUCAAUCAUCGUCAUGACAGGGAUUGGGGCUUGUAAUUGUUCCCCAUGAACGAGGAAUUCCUAGUAAGUGCAAGUCAUAACCUUGCGCUGAUUACGUCCCUGCCCUUUGUACACACCGCCCGUCGCUACUACCGAUUGAAUGGUUUAGUAAGGUCAUUGGAUUUGUGCCAUUGAUGUGUGUUCCGCAAGGAGCAUGCUCGACGCGUGCGAAGAAGAUGACCAAAUUCGA
This 1947-nucleotide ribosomal RNA is filed under the name Echinobothrium harfordi. Its description in RNAcentral is "SSU rRNA". It matches the Rfam family "Eukaryotic small subunit ribosomal RNA". Lineage: Eukaryota; Metazoa; Platyhelminthes; Cestoda; Diphyllidea; Echinobothriidae. The record is from RNAcentral.